UACGGGGGGGGUAAGCGUUGUUCGGAAUUACUGGGCGUAAAGGGCUCGUAGGCGGCCUUCUAAGUCGAACGUGAAAUCCCCGGGCUCAACCCGGGAACUGCGUCCGAUACUGGAAGGCUUGAAUCCGGGAGAGGGAUGCGGAAUUCCAGGUGUAGCGGUGAAAUGCGUAGAUAUCUGGAGGAACACCGGUGGCGAAGGCGGCAUCCUGGACCGGCAUUGACGCUGAGGCGCGAAAGCCAGGGGAGCAAACGGG
This 253-nucleotide ribosomal RNA is filed under the name uncultured bacterium. Its description in RNAcentral is "partial 16S ribosomal RNA". It matches the Rfam family "Bacterial small subunit ribosomal RNA", at positions 524 to 776 of the family's 1533-position model. The record is from RNAcentral.